Oncorhynchus tshawytscha (Chinook salmon) is the source of this 720-nucleotide long non-coding RNA. Lineage: Eukaryota; Metazoa; Chordata; Actinopteri; Salmoniformes; Salmonidae. The record is from Ensembl.
CUUCAGUCAACGCUUGUAGGUGAGAUAAUUAAGAAGAAUGUCACUCAAUAUGGAUAUGAGCAUUUUUUUUUUUAAGGAUUAUUAAAAAAAAGGGAAUUUAUAACUAGUCUGCUGUUGCUACUAAAUUUGGUCAGUUGUCUCACUGCCUCUGGACUGCUGCCCCGCACCAUUCUACUGAGGCUCGGACUACCUUUCCAUUUGAAAUCCAUAACGACAGAUGCCAAUGACCAAAGGAACCCCAGUUACAGACCUGUUGAAAGAGCUCCAGUGGCCUUUGGUGAGGGUGGUGGUAGAAGGGGUCCACACCGACGCAGAGUGGGGCCUGCCCUGGGGGCUUGGUUCUGGGAGACUGAGCCACUGAGCCUUCCCUCCCUUGGUAAAUGAAGGCCUGGAGGGCAUGCGGCCAGCGGGCCACCUGGCCAGGGAAGGAGCGGGACAGGGGAGCAGUGGUGAUUAAUGCCCUGUGUUUAGGGUGCCGUCAUCGGGAGGGAGACGGACGAGGGCUCAGCAUGAUGGAUGAGGGCUGGACCAGGGGCUGAUAAGACAUGGCCCAUGAAUCUGUUCUACAUCAUCGGCUCCUUUGAUCACUGACAGAAGUUCAGAGAUGGGCCUGUGCAUCUGUCUAAACAAACAACCCCCCACACACCACACACACACACACACACACACACACACACACACACACCAUGGCACUGGCACUGGCUCUCAGGUUAACACUCA